UACCAGCACCCCGAGUGGUCGGGACGAUUAUCGGGCCUAAAGCAUCCGUAGCCGGUUUUACAAGUCCUCCGUUAAAUCCAGCUGCUUAACAGAUGGGCUGCGGAGGAUACUAUAAGACUAGGAGGCAGGAGAGGCAAGCGGUACUCAGUGGGUAGGGGUAAAAUCCGUUGAUCCAUUGAAGACCACCAGUGGCGAAGGCGGCUUGCCAGAAUGCGCUCGACGGUGAGGGAUGAAAGCUGGGGGAGCAAACCGG
RNAcentral lists this ribosomal RNA (253 nucleotides) under uncultured bacterium. RNAcentral's name for it is "partial 16S ribosomal RNA". It matches the Rfam family "Archaeal small subunit ribosomal RNA", at positions 474 to 727 of the family's 1478-position model. The record is from RNAcentral.